RNAcentral lists this ribosomal RNA (509 nucleotides) under uncultured bacterium. RNAcentral's name for it is "partial 16S ribosomal RNA". It matches the Rfam family "Bacterial small subunit ribosomal RNA", at positions 29 to 507 of the family's 1533-position model. The record is from RNAcentral.
ACGAACGCUGGCGGCGUGCUUAACACCUGCAAGUCGAACGAAGAGCGAUGGAAGCUUGCUUCUAUCAAUCUUCGUGGCGAACGGGUGAGUAACGCGUAAUCAACCUGCCCUUCCGAGGGGGACAACAGUUGGAAACGACUGCUAAUACCGCAUACGAUCUAAUCUCGGCAUCGAGGAUAGAUGAAAGGUGGCCUCUACAUGUAAGCUAUCACUGAAGGAGGGGAUUGCGUCUGAUUAGCUAGUUGGAGGGGUAACGGCCCACCAAGGCGAUGAUCAGUAGCCGGUCUGAGAGGAUGAACGGCCACAUUGGGACUGAGACACGGGCCAGACUCCUACGGGAGGCAGCAGUGGGGAAUCUUCCGCAAUGGACGAAAGUCUGACGGAGCAACGCCGCGUGAGCGAUGACGGCCUUCGGGUUGUAAAGCUCUGUUAAUCGGGACGAAAGGCCUUCUUGCGAAUAGUGAGAAGGAUUGACGGUACCGGAAUAGAAAGCCACGGCUAACUACGUG